UAGACGCUUAACCCACCCAACCACCUAGGCUACCCUGGCUUAGGAGGAGUUAAUAAGGUGGGGCGGUAACAGUGAGGACAAACAGGAGGCUGGAUUCCAAGGGAGGCUAAGGACAGGGCAGUGGCUAUGGCAGCAAUGGGAGCGGAGAAGUGGGAAGAAAGACACCCUCCCCCCUCCACUUGACAGCUAUCAUAUGCAAACUAUUAGUCUGUUCUAGAAGGAUCACAGGGAACCAGCACUGAAGAAAUGAAAUUCAGCUAAUCCCUCCAAGAAACUGAAGUUUCAGGACAUUUGAAAGGCAGACACAGGCUGACUCCUGCCCACAGACCACCGAAAGCUAAAGUGUACCUGAAAGCCAU
Molecule: long non-coding RNA, 359 nt
Filed under: Suricata suricatta (meerkat)
Lineage: Eukaryota; Metazoa; Chordata; Mammalia; Carnivora; Herpestidae
Description: lncRNA (ENSSSUG00005016561.1)
Source: RNAcentral